UACAGAGGUCCCGAGCGUUGUUCGGAUUCACUGGGCGUAAAGGGUGCGUAGGUGGCGGGGUAAGUCGGAUGUGAAAGCUCGGAGCUCAACUCCGAAAUGGCAUUGGAAACUACCUUGCUCGAGGGUUGGAGGGGGGACUGGAAUGCUUGGUGUAGCAGUGAAAUGCGUAGAUAUCAAGCGGAACACCAGUGGCGAAGGCGAGUCCCUGGACAACUCCUGACACUGAGGCACGAAAGCUAGGGGAGUAAACAGG
RNAcentral lists this ribosomal RNA (253 nucleotides) under uncultured bacterium. RNAcentral describes it as "partial 16S ribosomal RNA". It matches the Rfam family "Bacterial small subunit ribosomal RNA", at positions 524 to 776 of the family's 1533-position model. The record is from RNAcentral.